Unclassified non-coding RNA from Bison bison bison, 76 nucleotides. NCBI's taxonomy places the organism in Eukaryota, Metazoa, Chordata, Mammalia, Artiodactyla, Bovidae. The record is from Ensembl.
AAAGCAUUAUUUACAAACAGCAUUUAACUCCUUGCAGUACACCUCUCAAACGACAUCUUCAUCAAGUAGGUAAGAU